GUGGGGGGGGCGCCCUCGGAGCCGGGCGGAGGGGAGGGGGGAAAGAGGAGCGCAGGGUGAGAGUGAGCCGCAGGCUUCGGGAGGCGAGGGGGCGGGGGGAGCAGCGCCGAGGCCGCCGCCUCCGCCUCCGCCGCCUAGGACUAGGGGGUGGGGGACGGACAAGCCCCGAUGCCGGGGGAGACGGAAGAGCCGAGACCCCCGGAGCAGCAGGACCAGGAAGGGGGAGAGGCGGCCAAGGCGGCUCCGGAGGAGCCCCAACAACGGCCCCCUGAGGCGGUCGCGGCGGCGCCUGCAGGGACCACUAGCAGCCGCGUGCUGAGGGGAGGUCGGGACCGAGGCCGGGCCGCUGCGGCCGCCGCCGCCGCAGCUGUGUCCCGCCGGAGGAAGGCCGAGUAUCCCCGCCGGCGGAGGAGCAGCCCCAGCGCCAGGCCUCCCGACGUCCCCGGGCAGCAGCCCCAGGCCGCGAAGUCCCCGUCUCCAGUUCAGGGCAAGAAGAGUCCGCGACUCCUAUGCAUAGAAAAAGUAACAACUGAUAAAGAUCCCAAGGAAGAAAAAGAGGAAGAAGACGAUUCUGCCCUCCCUCAGGAAGUUUCCAUUGCUGCAUCUAGACCUAGCCGGGGCUGGCGUAGUAGUAGGACAUCUGUUUCUCGCCAUCGUGAUACAGAGAACACCCGAAGCUCUCGGUCCAAGACCGGUUCAUUGCAGCUCAUUUGCAAGUCAGAACCAAAUACAGACCAACUUGAUUAUGAUGUUGGAGAAGAGCAUCAGUCUCCAGGUGGCAUUAGUAGUGAAGAGGAAGAGGAGGAGGAAGAAGAGAUGUUAAUCAGUGAAGAGGAGAUACCAUUCAAAGAUGAUCCAAGAGAUGAGACCUACAAACCCCACUUAGAAAGGGAAACCCCAAAGCCACGGAGAAAAUCAGGGAAGGUAAAAGAAGAGAAGGAGAAGAAGGAAAUUAAAGUGGAAGUAGAGGUGGAGGUGAAAGAAGAGGAGAAUGAAAUUAGAGAGGAUGAGGAACCUCCAAGGAAGAGAGGAAGAAGACGAAAAGAUGACAAAAGUCCACGUUUACCCAAAAGGAGAAAAAAGCCUCCAAUCCAGUAUGUCCGUUGUGAGAUGGAAGGAUGUGGAACUGUCCUUGCCCAUCCUCGCUAUUUGCAGCACCACAUUAAAUACCAGCAUUUGCUGAAGAAGAAAUAUGUAUGUCCCCAUCCCUCCUGUGGACGACUCUUCAGGCUUCAGAAGCAACUUCUGCGACAUGCCAAACAUCAUACAGAUCAAAGGGAUUAUAUCUGUGAAUAUUGUGCUCGGGCCUUCAAGAGUUCCCACAAUCUGGCAGUGCACCGGAUGAUUCACACUGGCGAGAAGCCAUUACAAUGUGAGAUCUGUGGAUUUACUUGUCGACAAAAGGCAUCUCUUAAUUGGCACAUGAAGAAACAUGAUGCAGACUCCUUCUACCAGUUUUCUUGCAAUAUCUGUGGCAAAAAAUUUGAGAAGAAGGACAGCGUAGUGGCACACAAGGCAAAAAGCCACCCUGAGGUGCUGAUUGCAGAAGCUCUGGCUGCCAAUGCAGGCGCCCUCAUCACCAGCACAGAUAUCUUGGGCACUAACCCAGAGUCCCUGACGCAGCCUUCAGAUGGUCAGGGUCUUCCUCUUCUUCCUGAGCCCUUGGGAAACUCAACCUCUGGAGAGUGCCUACUGUUAGAAGCUGAAGGGAUGUCAAAGUCAUACUGCAGUGGGACGGAACGGAGCAUUCACCGCUGACCCCUCACCGUCGGGACCUCUGUAGCCGCUCUAUCUGGCUAGCAAGGAAGAUUCGUUCAGACCUGACUGCUCUUACGGAAUCCUAUGUGAAGCAUCAGGGCCUGAACAAGAACAUCAACCUGGACUCUGCGGAUGGGAUGCCAGUGGCAAGCACUGAUCAGUGGAGUGAGCUGACCGAGGCAGAGCGACUCCAAGAGAACCUUCAAGCUUAUCGUACCUUCCAUGUUUUGUUGGCCAGGCUCUUAGAAGACCAGCAGGUGCAUUUUACCCCAACCGAAGGUGACUUCCAUCAAGCUAUACAUACCCUUCUUCUCCAAGUCGCUGCCUUUGCAUACCAGAUAGAGGAGUUAAUGAUACUCCUGGAAUACAAGAUCCCCCGCAAUGAGGCUGAUGGGAUGCCUAUUAAUGUUGGAGAUGGUGGUCUCUUUGAGAAGAAGCUGUGGGGCCUAAAGGUGCUGCAGGAGCUUUCACAGUGGACAGUAAGGUCCAUCCAUGACCUUCGUUUCAUUUCUUCUCAUCAGACUGGGAUCCCAGCACGUGGGAGCCAUUAUAUUGCUAACAACAAGAAAAUGUAGCAGUUAGUCCCUUCUCUCUUCCUUGCUUUCUCUUCUAAUGGAAUAUGCGUAGUUCCCUGGGGCCUCGCUUUCCCAUCUUAAAUUUCUAAAAACAGUUAAGACAACAGGCAUUUUCUUUCUUUUUUCUCUGACCACCUGCAGCCUGUUGAAGGACUACAGGUAUUUUCAUCAAGUAGCGUUGGAGACAUACACAAAUGGGCAUACAAGUUUAGCCUGGGGGGUGUGAUUUGUGUGCGUGCUUGCAUGUGCUGCAGGUGUAAGAGAGUGGGAGCAGGGACAACGUCCUUCCACUUCAGGGUUCUAACCUUUCUAACCCACUAAGUAACCUCUACAGGCAUUUAACUGCCUUACAGACAGAAUAUACAUAUGUUAAUUCUAGUCCUGGAUGACUCGGUCUGAGAAGAUUCAAUUUAAAAUCAGACUCUUUAGUUGAUUUAAACUCUUAGAGAAUAAGAAUAAUAAUGGCUAACUUUUAUUAUCUUCUAUAUUAAGGCAGUAUGCCAAGGGUCUUUAUGUAUAUUAUGUACAGCGUUUACAACCUUGUGAGCAAGGUGGUGUUACUCCCAUUAGGUAGAUGAGAAAACAGGCUCACAGAGAUUUGGUUAAGCUCACACAGCUAACAAGUAGCACACUGAGUUUGAACACAGAUCAUUCUCCUUGUAAAAGCCUAUGUGCCUUUCACUUUAGAGGCUUGAUCAUGAAUCACUGCACCUCUUUGUCACAGGGUGUUGGAAGAUGCAUCCAUGUAAUCUAUUCCCAUCGCUGGAAAACAGCUGCUGUUAGAUGUCCUCAGAAGUCAGUUGCAAAUUUUAGCGUUAAAGUCAGGAUUUAUUGUUCAUACUUGGCGGUGAGGAGGGCAGCUGGAGAUCUUAAGAUUCCAUUUUGGAAAAUGAUUAGGCCCGCCAAACUUCUGAACUUUGGAAGCUGGGGAUGUUUAGUAAUACAGCCUGGUUUUUAAGUACUCACUAAAAGUUCUCAAAUAUUGGGUUGGGCACGGCUUAUACCAGGUUACCUCACUUUUAAUUAGUGAUGCAGGCAGUGUAACCCAAGCAUUUGUGGACAAUGAGUGGAAUACUAAAGUUAAAAAGUCAAACUUUCACCUCAGAUUUUCUGGACUUAGUCAUGAGGAGAGGGUGAGGCCCACUCUGUUCCUACUGGAGAUACCAGAGACUCUGAAACUAUAGAAUAAAGCCUCUGUGCUGCACAACAAA
This is a long non-coding RNA of Homo sapiens (human), 3544 nucleotides long. RefSeq annotates it as ZFP91-CNTF readthrough (NMD candidate). The transcript is spliced from 13 exons. The record is from RefSeq and is marked validated. Lineage: Eukaryota; Metazoa; Chordata; Mammalia; Primates; Hominidae.